Molecule: transfer RNA, 76 nt
Filed under: Candidatus Heimdallarchaeota archaeon
Lineage: Archaea; Promethearchaeati; Candidatus Heimdallarchaeota
Description: tRNA-Gln
Rfam family: tRNA
About the family: Transfer RNA (tRNA) molecules are approximately 80 nucleotides in length. Their secondary structure includes four short double-helical elements and three loops (D, anti-codon, and T loops).
Source: RNAcentral
AGGCCCGUAGUGUAGUGGCCAAUCAUUUCGGUCCUUGGAACCGGAGACAGCAGUUCGACUCUGCUCGGGCCUACCA